Molecule: ribosomal RNA, 225 nt
Filed under: uncultured bacterium
Lineage: Bacteria
Description: partial 16S ribosomal RNA
Rfam family: Bacterial small subunit ribosomal RNA
Source: RNAcentral
UGGCGCACGGGUGAGUAACACGUGAAUUAUCUACCUCCCGAGUGGGGAAUAACUGAGAGAAAUCUUAGCUAAUACCGCAUAACACUUACGAGUCAAAGCAGCAAUGCGCUUGGAGAGGAGUUCGCGGCCGAUUAGUUAGUUGGCGGGGUAAUGGCCCACCAAGACGAUGAUCGGUAUCCGGCCUGAGGGGGCGCACGGACACACUGGAACUGAAACACGGUCCAG